This 85-nucleotide transfer RNA is filed under the name Clostridiales bacterium. RNAcentral describes it as "tRNA-Tyr". It matches the Rfam family "tRNA". From Rfam's summary of the family: Transfer RNA (tRNA) molecules are approximately 80 nucleotides in length. RNAcentral also lists the same sequence under 1 other name. The record is from RNAcentral. Lineage: Bacteria; Bacillati; Bacillota; Clostridia; Eubacteriales.
GGGAGCGUUCCCGAGUGGCCAAAGGGGGCAGACUGUAAAUCUGUUGUCACAGACUUCGGUGGUUCGAAUCCACCCGCUCCCACCA